CAGGCUUAACACAUGCAAGUCGAGGGGUAGCAGGGUAGCAAUACCGCUGACGACCGGCGCACAGGUGAGUAACACGUAUCCAACCUUCCCAUAACUCGGGGAUAGCCUUUCGAAAGAAAGAUUAAUACCCGAUAGUACUUUUUUAGGGCAUCUUAGAAAAGUUAAAGAUUUAUUGGUUAUGGAUGGGGAUGCGUUCCAUUAGAUAGUUGGUGAGGUAACGGCUCACCAAGUCUUCGAUGGAUAGGGGUUCUGAGAGGAAGGUCCCCCACAUUGGUACUGAGACACGGACCAAACUCCUACGGGAGGCAGCAGUGAGGAAUAUUGGUCAAUGGGCGAGAGCCUGAACCAGCCAAGUAGCGUGAAGGAUGACGG
This 372-nucleotide ribosomal RNA is filed under the name uncultured Bacteroidales bacterium. RNAcentral describes it as "bacterial SSU rRNA". It matches the Rfam family "Bacterial small subunit ribosomal RNA", at positions 43 to 414 of the family's 1533-position model. The record is from RNAcentral. Lineage: Bacteria; Pseudomonadati; Bacteroidota; Bacteroidia; Bacteroidales.